RNAcentral lists this transfer RNA (62 nucleotides) under Pseudechis papuanus. Its description in RNAcentral is "transfer RNA-Ser". RNAcentral also lists the same sequence under 2 other names. Lineage: Eukaryota; Metazoa; Chordata; Lepidosauria; Squamata; Elapidae. The record is from RNAcentral.
CGAGGGGGUCAUAAGACCUGCUAACUCUUUAACCUGGGAUUAAUAAACCAGCCCCCUCUACC